GACGAACGCUGGCGGCGUGCUUAACACAUGCAAGUCGAACGGAAAUGCCCUGCUUUUGUGGGGUGCUCUAGUGGCGAACUGGUGAGUAACACUUGAGUAACCUGCCCUUGACUUUGGGAUAACUUCAUGAAACUGGGGCUAAUACCGGAUAGGAGCUCCUGCUUCUUGGUGGGGGUUGGAAAGUUUCGGCGGUUGGGGAUGGACUCGCGGCUUAUCAGCUUGUUGGUGGGGUAGUGGCUUACCAAGGCUUUGACGGGUAGCCGGCCUGAGAGGGUGACCGGACAAAUUGGGACUGGAAUACGGCACAGACUCCUACGGGAGGCAGCGGUGGAGAAUAUUGCACAAUGGGCGGAAGCAUGAUGCAGCAAAGCCGCGUGCGGGAUGACGGCCUUCGGGUCGUAAACCGAUUUCGCCUGUGACGAAGCGUGAGUGACGGUAAUGGGUAAAGAAGCACCGGCUAACUACGUG
Molecule: ribosomal RNA, 468 nt
Filed under: uncultured bacterium
Lineage: Bacteria
Description: partial 16S ribosomal RNA
Rfam family: Bacterial small subunit ribosomal RNA
Source: RNAcentral